UGGGGAAUAUUGCACAAUGGGGGAAACCCUGAUGCAGCGACGCCGCGUGAGCGAAGAAGGUUUUCGAAUCGUAAAGCUCUGUCCUAUGAGAAGAUAAUGACGGUAUCAUAGGAGGAAGCCCCGGCUAAAUACGUGCCAGCAGCCGCGGUAAUACGUAUGGGGCGAGCGUUGUCCGGAAUUAUUGGGCGUAAAGCGCGCGCAGGUGGUUUAGAAAGUCUGAUGUGAAAGCCCACGGCUCAACCGUGGAGGGUCAUUGGAAACUAAUAAACUUGAGUGCAGGAGAGAAAAGUGGAAUUCCUAGUGUAGCGGUGAAAUGCGUAGAGAUUAGGAGGAACACCGGUGGCGAAAGCGGCUUUUUGGCCUGCAACUGACACUGAGGCGCGAAAGCGUGGGGAGCAAACAGG
RNAcentral lists this ribosomal RNA (404 nucleotides) under Verrucomicrobiota bacterium. RNAcentral's name for it is "Verrucomicrobia bacterium partial 16S ribosomal RNA". It matches the Rfam family "Bacterial small subunit ribosomal RNA", at positions 355 to 776 of the family's 1533-position model. The record is from RNAcentral. Lineage: Bacteria; Pseudomonadati; Verrucomicrobiota.